UGUCGGGAACUCUAGGGAGACUGCCCCGGAAAUCGGGGAGGAAGGUGGGGAUGACGUCAAGUCCUCAUGGCCUUUAUGUCCAGGGCUACACACGUGCUACAAUGGGCGGCACAGCGGGUUGCGAAAGCGCGAGCUCGAGCCAAUCCCGAAAAACCGUCCUCAGUUCGGAUUGCAGUCUGCAACUCGACUGCAUGAAGGUGGAAUCGCUAGUAAUCCCAGAUCAGCACGCUGGGGUGAAUACGUUCCCGGGCCUUGUACACACCGCCCGUCACAUCACGAAAGUCGGCUGUACCGGAAGUCGGUGGGCCAACCCGCAAGGGAGGCAACUGCCCAUGGUGUGGUCGGCGAUUGGGGUGAAGUCGUAACAAGGUAGCUGUAGGAGAACCUGUGGCUGGAUCACCUCCUUUCUAG
Molecule: small RNA, 411 nt
Filed under: uncultured bacterium
Lineage: Bacteria
Description: bacterial SSU rRNA
Rfam family: Bacterial small subunit ribosomal RNA
Source: RNAcentral